UGGGGAAUAUUGCACAAUGGGCGCAAGCCUGAUGCAGCCAUGCCGCGUGUGUGAAGAAGGCCUUCGGGUUGUAAAGCACUUUCAGCGAGGAGGAAGGUGGUGAGCUUAAUACGCUCAUCAAUUGACGUUACUCGCAGAAGAAGCACCGGCUAACUCCGUGCCAGCAGCCGCGGUAAUACGGAGGGUGCAAGCGUUAAUCGGAAUUACUGGGCGUAAAGCGCACGCAGGCGGUUUGUUAAGUCAGAUGUGAAAUCCCCGGGCUCAACCUGGGAACUGCAUUUGAAACUGGCAAGCUAGAGUCUCGUAGAGGGGGGUAGAAUUCCAGGUGUAGCGGUGAAAUGCGUAGAGAUCUGGAGGAAUACCGGUGGCGAAGGCGGCCCCCUGGACGAAGACUGACGCUCAGGUGCGAAAGCGUGGGGAGCAAAACAGGAUUAGAUACCCUGGUAGUCCACGCUGUAAAACGAUGUCGAUUUUGGAGGUUGUGCCCUUGAGGCGUGGCUUCCGGAGCUAACGCGUUAAAUCGACCGCCUGGGGAGUACGGCCGCAAGGUUAAAACUC
Molecule: ribosomal RNA, 558 nt
Filed under: uncultured bacterium
Lineage: Bacteria
Description: partial 16S ribosomal RNA
Rfam family: Bacterial small subunit ribosomal RNA
Source: RNAcentral